UAUUUUCUUAAAAAAAGUAGGGUUUGCUGAUUUUUUCUAUUAGUUUAUAACUUUAUAAAAUUUUCUUAUUGCAGCAGCCUUCACGUUUUAAAAACAUUCAUUUUUCACAAUGCCCAAAAAGGAUGAGGCUUGGAAAUAUAUUGAAGAGUUUCCUGGCAGACAAAAAAAUCAAACAAAAUGUUUUUUUUGUAAAGAAAUUAAUUUUGGUGGCAUCAAUAGAUUUAAAUACCAUAUUGCUGGCAUACCUGGCCAUGCUAUUGAGGUAUGUAAAAAACAAACUGUUGAGGCAAAACGUUUCUGUUAUGUCCAAUUAGAAACACAUGAACAAGAAAAGUUAACUAAGAAGAGGCAAUUGGAAGAGUUAAGUGCUAUUGGCUCCCAUGCACCCGCAUCCGCAUCCGCAUCCACAUCCGUACACUGUGUUGGAGAGGGUUCUUCCAUGCCUCCCUUUCAUUCUAGUGCUUUUGCUAGUGCUAGCGCUUCUACUUCUCCUAGUGGCACUAUUACCUUUGGCCCUAGAGUUCGAAAAUUCAGGUUGGAUAGUUAUUUUGUGCCACGCAGUACUCCUGGGGCACAACCCUCGCUUGAGAGCAUGGGUUGGAACAAGGAGGUUCAUGAUGCCGCAAGAAAACAAAUUUGCAAGUUUUGGUACUUUUGCAACAUUCCAUUUAUUGCAGCCAGGUAAUUCUUUUUGAUUUGAUUGCUUCAAGUUUAAAAGUAAAUUUAUAGUUUGAAGUUGAACUCUACUUUGUCUAAUCAUAAUCUAUUUGUGACAGGGCUCCUUAUUGGCAAGGCAUGGUAGAUGCCAUAACCAUUUGUGGUGUGGGGUUUAAAACCCCUACUGAUGUUGAGUUAAGUUGCCCCCUCUUGUUAGAAAUGGUUGAGGAUAUGAAAGUUGAGCUAGAGGACCAUCGAUAGUCUUGGAGCCAGAAGGGUUGCACCAUCAUGACAGAUGGUUGGACGGAUAGGAAGAAUAGAACACUCCUAAAUUUUUUUGUUUACUGCGGAGGAUCCACCAUGUUCUUGAAGUCUAUUGAUGCUUCCUCACAUGUAAAAAAUGCCACAUACUUAUGUGAGGCUAUUGAGGAAAUCAUACAAGAGGUGGGGGAAGAAAAUGUGGUGCAGGUGGUGACAAAUAAUGCAACAAGUUAUGUUGCUGCAGGUAAACUUUUGAUGGAGAGGCACUUGAAAAUUUUUUGGUCUCCAUGUGCGGCCCAUUGCCUUGACCUCAUGUUGGAGGAUAUUGGUAAGCUUGAAUGGGUGAAAUCAAUAGUUGAAAGGGCCAAAAAUAUCAGCAAGCUAAUCUACAAUCAUGCAUUGGUCCUUAGCAUUAUGAGGCAAUACACGGGGCAAAAGGAGUUGGCUCGUCUUGGUAUCAUGAGGUUUGCCUCAAACUUCCUCACACUGAAAUCCUUGAUGAAAUCAAAGGUGGCUUUGAGGCGUAUGUUUGUUGGUGAGGAGUGAACUUCCUCAUCCUAUGCUACGACCACUGUAGGGAUAGAUGUGGGAAAUUGCAUUUUUGAUGAGCUAGGUUUUUGGACCCCUUGUGGAGAAAUUGUGCAGGUCACUGAGCCCCUCGUAGUUCUCCUACGAGUUGUUGAUGGGGAGAAGCCCUCUAUGGGCUAUAUAUAUGAGGGUAUGGAUAGGGCCAAGGAGGCCAUUACGUCCAUCUAUGCAGGAGAUGAGGAUAAGUAUGGCCCCAUUUGGGAGAUUAUUGAUAGGAGAUGGAAGAACCAGCUUCACAGGCCCAUCCAUGCAGCAACCUAUUACCUCAAUUAGGCAUUUCGAUUCCGUGAUGACUUCAAGGCGGAUGAGGAGGUUCUUAGUGGCCUGUAUACAGUGGUAAAAAAGUUGUGUACUAAUGGCACAACUUCAAGUACAACGCUCCAGCUAGAUAAAUAUAAUAAUCAAGAAGGGGCAAUCUUCGUAAGCAGCAUGUGCAUAGAGGCUCGGACACAAUUGCAGCCAGGUGCCGAACACUAUUGCUGUUCAAAUCCACGGGCGUGCCAGCCCGGAGAAAGUACCAAGCCUGUGAUCAUAGUGGCCCAGCUGGGAUUUGAACCUUGGUGGUGAUUUCACCAAGCAAGUGUUUUAACUGCUGAAUUACAUGGGUCACCCCAACAAUUUAUCUUGCACGGAACAAAUGUCUGAGUGUCACACAUUUGCCCAUGAAAGUUAUUGAACACAGUGACAAUGAAGAUGCCGUUAGAGACAAAAAUUCUAGCAAGAAAUUUCAGCAAAGUCAGAAUAGGAUGGAAUGGGUUGGUCUGUAUCAAGGGUCACACAUAUUAUCUCGAAAGCCACACAAGGCAGAAGAAAAUUUAUCCCCUAUUUCACCUUUGAUGCAGAACAGUCCAAAUACCAAAACAGCCAUGUUUCAACAGUUCUGGAAAGCUGGGGAUUAUGAUGUCCAAGUUACAAAACGGAAAUCCUUACCAGAUUCAUUUUUAUUCUUUUCUAUAUGAUAGCAUCUGUUGGUUCCUAUAAAUCAGAUUAAUGAAAUACAUAUUGAACAUCAUAAUACAGCAUGCUUUAAAAACGUUGUGCCACAAUUUUGAUAUUUUUAUGGCCAGUAAACUCAAUUUCUACUUCAAAAGCAGUUGACAAGCAUGUCAUUAUUUUUACACUUCUUUCGAGUAUAAGAAAUGGGCGUUAGUUUCUGCUAUAGAAAUAUACAUGACAGUUAUAAAGGAGAUUGUGUUUUGCUCUGAUAGACAGGAGCAAUAAAGAAUGU
Long non-coding RNA from Cryptomeria japonica (Japanese cedar), 2734 nucleotides. RefSeq lists it as uncharacterized. Lineage: Eukaryota; Viridiplantae; Streptophyta; Pinopsida; Cupressales; Cupressaceae. The transcript is spliced from 6 exons. The record is from RefSeq and is a predicted model, not a curated record.